CUUUCAGAGAUGACAGGGCUUCAGGGGACAUCGAGGUGUGGUCUAGGGGCUUCAUGCUCCCCAUAGGCCACAUUGACAUCCCUGACGUACAGGGUGACAGGAAGAGUUUCACACCUUCACCAUAUGACAAAUCCUGCAGGGAGUAAGUGUACAAACUAGGCCAUGUAGUCAGCAGGAACACCAACUUUGUGAUCAAUGCUGCCUGUGGCAAGAGAAAUCUGAGAGCUCAUUCCCUAUCUUCUGGCAAAAGGAUAUUCUAUGUGUUAUAAGCAGGGCUGGAAGUAGAAAUGAACACAAGUGAGUCAACAUUUCCUUUGUCAACGUGCUUUUGCUACAACGUGUGUCUCAGGGCAAAAUCUGAAGGAAGAUGAUGCAGCAGCAUUGCAGGAACUUGAACAGGUUUGGUACAUGAGUAAUGCAAGGAAGACUGAUCAAGAAUUCUAUGUAGGGACACACAAACGUGUUCAUGCCAAAAAGUGCUUGCUCUUUUGUAUAUGCUUCAAAUGCAAGCACACAGGGGACUGAUGUGUUAUGAAUCAUUCAAGCUAACACACUGAAAUAUUCACAGGUGCUUACAUUUUUGAGUGCCACAUACCCCUUCUCUCCUCCCUCCCCAAGGCAGCUCAGAUCUAUCAAGGGCAUUCUUUCUCAGCUGAAAGGUUAAGCUUACUGCUUUAGUAUUACAUUUCUUUUGAGAAUGUUCUGAGACAAUGCACCCUGCCAUGCCAGGUAAAAAUGUGACAAGGAGCCUUCAGCCAUCCAAAGUGCGGAGUAGAAUAUCCUCCAGCUCAUUCACUCCAGGGCCAGUGUGUGAUAAUCCAGGCUGUGUUUCCAAGACCAGGCUGCACCUUCUUCUUGGUGGUCCCUGGGGACUAUUGUCUAAGCACACUUCCCGUUCCCCAUCUGAGGAGGCCUCCUCCAGGUAGGACAUGACACCGUCAUUCAUUCAUAAUGAACUAGGGCAGAUAUAUUGAAUUGGAUUAUCUGAGGAUCCUUCCCCACAGCUAUAUAACCCAAAAUAUCAAGGCAGAUAAUUCACAAUAUCUGUUUUGAAUUGGUUUAUCUGAGUCCACACUGCCCUAUAAUCCAGUUCAAUGUGGAUUUCAUACAGCUAUGUGGAAGGGGCCUGAGUCUACACUGCCAGAUAAUCCAGUUCAAAGCAGAUAAUCUGAAUUUUAUACAGCUGUGUAGAAGGGACCCUAGACAACCUGACUUGUAACAAUAUAUAAUUUCUGCAUCAAGAAAAAUUCAAAACUAUAACUAAUGAACAUUUUGCUGUGUGUGUUAAUGUGGAUGCACCUUGUAGCACCUUGAAGACUAACAGAGAUAAGUUUCUAGCACAAGCUUUUGUAGACUAAGGGUGCAUCUACACCACACAUGUCAAUUACAAGGCCUGUGGGCCAAAAUCAGCCUACCAUAUCAUUUUAUGUGAUCCACAAGACUUUCAAUGCCAGGUCAACAUAGUUACAUGUAUACAGUCUUACAAUUAUAAACAGCCCUUUGAUGGCAACCAUAAGGCUGAUGUGGCCCUUGGUGAAAAUGAGUUGACAUCCUGAUCUACACUGUAGAAUUAAUGCAGUGUGGCCCCACUUAAACUAUCAUAGUUCUCGCAGAAGCAGAGGCAGCAGGAGGACAUUUUUGCUCCCUGGCUUCAGGUAGGAUUUGGCUAAGAUUUGGCUAAGAUUUUAAACUGAGUGUGGGCUUGGCUCCUGUGGUCAAAGUCUAACUGUUGUGUGACUGUUGUGUUGAAAGAGAGCCAGGUACUUAAGUUGAUUGACAGCAGGCAUUGUCCCCUGUUAAUUGAGUUUCUGGGAAAGCUUUAUUUGCCAGUGUCGCGCGCGCCGUCAGGCACCUUUACUAACUAUCCUUUGCAGUACAUACAGGAAACAAAGCAACAUAAACAAAUACACAAAGAGGUGGUUUGUUGCAGUCUGCACAUAAAGUGCAUGCAUAUUACUUAACUGUACAAAAUCCCACUUG
This 1980-nucleotide long non-coding RNA is filed under the name Anolis carolinensis (green anole). Its description in RNAcentral is "lncRNA (ENSACAG00000037680.1)". The record is from RNAcentral. Lineage: Eukaryota; Metazoa; Chordata; Lepidosauria; Squamata; Anolidae.